Molecule: long non-coding RNA, 1252 nt
Filed under: Salmo salar (Atlantic salmon)
Lineage: Eukaryota; Metazoa; Chordata; Actinopteri; Salmoniformes; Salmonidae
Description: lncRNA (ENSSSAG00000107115.1)
Source: RNAcentral
AGGGUGAGUCCCUGGCGGCAACUAGUUAGCAAUCUUCCAGCGAAGCAAACCUACCACCACUGGUGUUAUGGACGUCUCCGUCUGUUGUGUUGGUAAGAUAAAGAUGAUGAUACAGCAUUGAAAAAUACCUACCAGUGCAGCCCUCAGACCAUCCGGUGCAUGGAUAUCCUGUGCCAGUGUGAUGACAUCCUGUGCCAGUGUGAUCUGAGUGCAAGCGUCCAAUUGUAGAGACUACAGCAGAUCGAGCCUGUGGACAGACAGUCUAACAAGAGUGCAUCCUUCAGACCAUCCGGUGCAUGGACAAUGUUAGACUGGAAAACAAAGAGACAUUUGGUCAGUGGUAGGUCUUUUUUUUAUAUGCAUGCCUGCAAAGCCAUUACACAACACUAAACAAUGCAUUAAUUGGACUAUAACGGUGACAAACAGUACCCACAAACUGUGGUGGCCUACAUAAAGCUGUCCUAACAGGAGUCCCAAAACCUUACAACCACUACACAUGGCUGUCAGCGGAGCCUUGUCUGGCAGCAAAACAGUUAACUCAGCCUCAUUUACUGCCUUUAAAAAAAACAUAGCUGAUAUGGCUGACUUGCUUAUAAAUGUUUUGGUUUCUACUGAAAAUUGAGAUGUACAAACUAUGGCAUAGGGGGACGACGAGCGGAUAAGAGGCAAUCCGUAAUUUCGAUUAAGACAAUGAGCGAGCUCGGACGGACGUAGUCAAUAUAACUAUUUGUUCAGGACUUUUGAAAUGUACAGCGACAGAAUUCAGAACAUGGGCCGUUCUUACAGUAUUCUCCCUGUACACCAAGUCAGAACCGUAGGAUAAAUAAAGGGGGCAUAUAAGCAGACAAUGAAAGCUCUUACAAUAUUCGAUGAUGACAUUUCUCUAAAACAGGCUAUAGGCUACAGGUGCACCAGCAAGUCAGAACAGUAGGCUAAAUUAUGAAGGGAAAAGGGACCAAAUUAAUAGGGUGAGGCACAUGGGCUACUAACAGCUUACUACACAACAUACACGUAGUAUUAAUGUCUUAGCUACAGUAUACAUAUCUCCCUGGCAUAUUACCUAAUUUAUGCAGCAGUAUACCAUUUUUGUACUCACCUUGUUUGGACUCACCUUGUGACAGGAAUGUCAUCGUCGUGUGUGUAGGUGGCAAGGAAGUCAGGCGCAGGAGAAACCAACUUGGUAUAACUGGAGUUGUUUAAUAAAUAAUAAACAAACACAAACUCCAAAACCAAUGUACAUAAAAAUAACAUG